RNAcentral lists this ribosomal RNA (488 nucleotides) under uncultured bacterium. RNAcentral describes it as "partial 16S ribosomal RNA". It matches the Rfam family "Bacterial small subunit ribosomal RNA", at positions 28 to 507 of the family's 1533-position model. The record is from RNAcentral.
GACGAACGCUGGCGGCGUGCUUAACACAUGCAAGUCGAACGGAAAGGCCCUGCUUUUGUGUGGUUCUCGAGGGGCGAGCGUGUGAGUAACAUGUGAGUAACCUUCCCUGUACUUUGUGAUAACUUCAGGAAACUGCGGCUAAUACCUGAUAGGUGCUCCUGCUGCAUGGUGGGGGUUGGAACGUUUCGUCGGUUGGGGAUGGACUCAGGGCUUAUCAGCUUGUGGGUGGGGUAAAGGCCUACCAAGGCGUCGAUCCGUAACCGGCCUGAGUGGAGGAUCAGGCACAAGGGAGCGGAGACACGGUCCAGAGUCCUACGGGAGGCAGCAGUGGGGAAUGGUGGACAAGGGGGGAAAGCCUGAUCCAGCCAGGGCGCGUGUGUGAAGAAGGUCUUCGGAGUGUAAAGCACUUUAAGUUGGGAGGGAGGGCAGUAAGUUAAUACCUGGCUGUUGUGACGUUACCAACAGAAUAAGCACCGGCUAACUUCGUG